RNAcentral lists this long non-coding RNA (291 nucleotides) under Dromaius novaehollandiae (emu). RNAcentral describes it as "lncRNA (ENSDNVG00000013406.1)". Lineage: Eukaryota; Metazoa; Chordata; Aves; Casuariiformes; Dromaiidae. The record is from RNAcentral.
AACGGAGCAGCAGAAAGAUGAAAGGGAAGUGCUUCCUACCUGUCCUUUAGAUUUUUCUCCCUAAUGAAUCUCUUCUUCAGCUCUUGCAGCCUGUUCAGGAGGUGGCUGCUUAACGAGACAUGUAGCUUGGCUACUGGGCAAACACGCUGGAGCCUGUGUCUGCAAGCUUGCUGAUGCCGCCAGAUGCCUGCCGUGUCGGAGCCGCACACCCGGUGGACUCCGAUGCCCAACCCCUUCUUCUGGAGCUAGUAAUUCAGCCUCUGCUUCCUGCUUGAGUAAACUCUGCAAAAG